Long non-coding RNA from Sarcophilus harrisii (Tasmanian devil), 1006 nucleotides. The record is from Ensembl. Lineage: Eukaryota; Metazoa; Chordata; Mammalia; Dasyuromorphia; Dasyuridae.
CUGCACAGUUCCUUCCAAUUCUUGGGCCUGUGCCCUGCACCCCUCACGCGCAAUGCUCAUUUUUCUCCCCCAAAGACCACGUUACUUAAAUAACCUUUAUUUUUUUUCUCAUGCUUUGAAGAGGGACUGAUUUGAAAUCUCAUAUUUCACAGCAAUGAAAAACACAGUUCCAGCUUGGCCAGUGACAAAGACAUCGAGGGAUUAAGGAGGGGAGAGGCACAAAUGGGGCCUCCCCGGCACUCUCUCACCAAGAGCCAGCUCCCCUGGCCGCCCCGUGCUUUGGCUGAGGCGGGCCCCCUCCUCUUCAGCGGCACAAAAAGCUACAACAUGAGUUCGUCUGGGCGGGCAGUGAGGAGGGAAGCCGCCGGCCUUGGGCCCGGCCUGUACCCUUCCUCCUACCCCGCCACACCCACCAGGAAUGGGCACGGAGACAGGACCAGCCACAGAAUGGCAAUGGCAACGUGAGAAGAGGGGAACCCACCAGUAACAGCUGGAGAGGUGCCGCCUUGACCAGGGCCAGGGCAAAUACAGCAGCCCCAGCCUUCAGGCAGGAUGCAGCCGACCCGAGCACCCCCGGGCAGUCUGUAGCCACAGGGCCAGCGACACCUAUCCCAGAGCACCGAGCAGCUCUAGAAAACCCGCUCCCCAACCACACAAACACCCCUGUCCACAGCUGCCUGAGGCGUGUGGCUGCCAGGCUUCUGAAAGGCUGUGGAGUGCCAGGCAGGAGGGAGGAGCCUGCCAGGGCAGUACUGGGCAUGGGGGAAGGAGCCUCCCUGGGCAGUGCCCGGCAGGAGGGAGGAGCUUCCCUGGGCAAUGCCCACCAGAAGGGAGGAGCCUCCCAGGGAUAGCGCCCAGGCAGGAGGGAGGAGCCUAUCCAGGCAGUGCCCGGCAGGAGGGAGGAGCCUCUCCAGGCAGUGCCCGGCAGGAGGGAGAAGCCUCCCUGGGCAGUGCUGGGCCCAGCCCUUUUGCGUCACAACACAUAAUUCAGCCCCAAAGAGCUCCA